UGAUUAUGGCUCAGGAUGAACGCUAGCUACAGGCUUAACACAUGCAAGUCGAGGGGAAACGAUAUUGGAAGCUUGCUUCCGAUAGGCGUCGACCGGCGCACGGGUGAGUAACGCGUAUCCAACCUGCCCAUCACUUGGGGAUAACCUUGCGAAAGUAAGACUAAUACCCAAUGAUAUCUCUAGAAGACAUCUGAAAGGGAUUAAAGAUUUAUCGGUGAUGGAUGGGGAUGCGUCUGAUUAGCUUGUUGGCGGGGUAACGGCCCACCAAGGCGACGAUCAGUAGGGGUUCUGAGAGGAAGGUCCCCCACAUUGGAACUGAGACACGGUCCAAACUCCUACGGGAGGCAGCAGUGAGGAAUAUUGGUCAAUGGGCGAGAGCCUGAACCAGCCAAGUAGCGUGCAGGAUGACGGCCCUAUGGGUUGUAAACUGCUUUUAUAAGGGAAUAAAGUGAGCCUCGUGAGGCUUUUUGCAUGUACCUUAUGAAUAAGGACCGGCUAAUUCCGUGCCAGCAGCCGCGGUAAUACGGAAGGUCCGGGCGUUAUCCGGAUUUAUUGGGUUUAAAGGGAGCGUAGGCCGGAGAUUAAGCGUGUUGUGAAAUGUAGAUGCUCAACAUCUGCACUGCAGCGCGAACUGGUUUCCUUGAGUACGCACAAAGUGGGCGGAAUUCGUGGUGUAGCGGUGAAAUGCUUAGAUAUCACGAAGAACUCCGAUUGCGAAGGCAGCUCACUGGAGCGCAACUGACGCUGAAGCUCGAAAGUGCGGGUAUCGAACAGGAUUAGAUACCCUGGUAGUCCGCACGGUAAACGAUGGAUGCCCGCUGUUGGUCUGAAUAGGUCAGCGGCCAAGCGAAAGCAUUAAGCAUCCCACCUGGGGAGUACGCCGGCAACGGUGCAACUCAAAUGAAUUGACGG
Molecule: ribosomal RNA, 912 nt
Filed under: uncultured Bacteroidota bacterium
Lineage: Bacteria; Pseudomonadati; Bacteroidota
Description: bacterial SSU rRNA
Rfam family: Bacterial small subunit ribosomal RNA
Source: RNAcentral